UACGGGGGAUGCAAGCGUUAUCCGGAUUUACUGGGUGUAAAGGGAGCGUAGGUGGCAAGGCAAGUCAGAUGUGAAAACCCGGGGCCCAACCCCGGGAGUGCAUUUGAAGCUGUCUGGCUAGAGUGCAGGAGAGGUAAGCGGAAUUCCUAGUGUAGCGGUGAAAUGCGUAGAUAUUAGGAGGAACACCAGUGGCGAAGGCGGCCUGCUGGACUGUAACUGACGUUGAGGCACGAAAGCGUGGGGAGCAAACAGG
RNAcentral lists this ribosomal RNA (253 nucleotides) under uncultured Eubacteriales bacterium. RNAcentral describes it as "uncultured Clostridiales bacterium partial 16S ribosomal RNA". It matches the Rfam family "Bacterial small subunit ribosomal RNA", at positions 524 to 776 of the family's 1533-position model. The record is from RNAcentral. Lineage: Bacteria; Bacillati; Bacillota; Clostridia; Eubacteriales.